GACGAACGCUGGCGGCGUGCUUAACACAUGCAAGUCGAACGGUAAGGCCCUUCGGGGUACACGAGUGGCGAACGGGUGAGUAACACGUGGGUGAUCUGCCCUGCACUUCGGGAUAAGCCUGGGAAACUGGGUCUAAUACCGGAUAGGACUCCGGACUGCAUGGUCUGGGGUGGAAAGCUUUUGCGGUGUGGGAUGGGCCCGCGGCCUAUCAGCUUGUUGGUGGGGUGAUGGCCUACCAAGGCGACGACGGGUAGCCGGCCUGAGAGGGUGACCGGCCACACUGGGACUGAGGUACGGCCCAGACUCCUACGGGAGGCAGCAGUGGGGGAUAUUGCACAAUGGGCGCAAGCCUGAUGCAGCGACGCCGCGUGAGGGAUGACGGCCUUCGGGUUGUAAACCUCUUUCAGCACAGACGAAGCGCAAGUGACGAUAUGUGCAGAAGAAGGACCGGCCAACUACGUGCCAGCCGCCGCGGUAA
This 478-nucleotide ribosomal RNA is filed under the name uncultured bacterium. RNAcentral's name for it is "partial 16S ribosomal RNA". It matches the Rfam family "Bacterial small subunit ribosomal RNA", at positions 28 to 523 of the family's 1533-position model. The record is from RNAcentral.